This 254-nucleotide ribosomal RNA is filed under the name uncultured bacterium. RNAcentral describes it as "partial 16S ribosomal RNA". It matches the Rfam family "Bacterial small subunit ribosomal RNA", at positions 524 to 777 of the family's 1533-position model. The record is from RNAcentral.
UACAGAGGUCCCGAGCGUUGUUCGGAUUCAUUGGGCGUAAAGGGUGCGUAGGCGGCGGGGCAAGUCUGAUGUGAAAUCCCGGGGCUCAGCCCCGGAACUGCAUUGGAUACUGCCUUGCUAGAGUACUGGAGAGGGAACUGGAAUUUACGGUGUAGCAGUGAAAUGCGUAGAGAUCGUAAGGAAGGCCAGUGGCGAAGGCGAGUUCCUGGACAGUUACUGACGCUGAGGCACGAAGGCCAGGGGAGCAAACGGGG